Molecule: long non-coding RNA, 698 nt
Organism: Zalophus californianus (California sea lion)
Lineage: Eukaryota; Metazoa; Chordata; Mammalia; Carnivora; Otariidae
Exons: 3
Source: RefSeq, a predicted model, not a curated record
UAACACUCUAAUCUGUUAGAUGCGACAUCUAACCCCAGCACUCACACUCCACUCCUGUUUCCCGCCAAGAGUUGCAGUGAGGGCCUAGGAAGCAUGGAGGUACUCACUAAAUUGGGGGGACAGAGAGUCUGUUGAUUAUUUUCAUUCAUGAGGUAUUUUUUCAUUGACUACUGAGUCCCUGGCAUAAUUUUGGAGAUCACAGAAGUGAGCCCAAACCCCUCACUUCCCUGAGGGAGACUGCAGUCUCAUUGGCCUGGGAAAUGAGAGCUAAGUGACUCCAUGUGUAAAUCAGUAGCAUACAUUCAUUCAUUCACCCACUUUGUGCCCUGCCGUGUGCAGAGUUAGGGGUUUAAGAAAGAGCUAGACAUAUUCCUGCUUAUUUCUAAACAAGGAGAUUUAGAAAUCAGCAUUGUACGCACAUCUUAAUUUGGACUGACCACACUUCAAAGUGUUCAACAGCCACAUGGGGGUAAAGCUAUGGUAUUAGCUCAGGUUUCAUCUAUGCUUGGAGAGCCUGGAGCCACCCGGAAAGGCUGAGCGGCUGAAUCAAAUGUCCUGGCUCAGUAUGGACUGAAUUUGUACUGAUGCUGUGACAUAAAAUGAAAAGGUCUCUUGAAAGAGCAAUUCUUGAUCUCUGCUUGCCCUUCUCAUAGAAGCAGAAGUCGAGGAAAUUCUGGGUGUUUUAUUUUGUUUUGUUU